CGUCAAGUCAUCAUGCCCCUUAUGACCUGGGCUACACACGUGCUACAAUGGCCGGUACAGAGCGCAGCGAAGCCGUGAGGUGGAGCGAAUCGCAAAAAGCCGGUCUCAGUUCGGAUCGGAGUCUGCAACUCGACUCCGUGAAGUCGGAAUCGCUAGUAAUCUCGGGUCAGCAUACCGAGGUGAAUACGUUCCCGGGCCUU
RNAcentral lists this ribosomal RNA (200 nucleotides) under uncultured organism. RNAcentral describes it as "partial small subunit ribosomal RNA". It matches the Rfam family "Bacterial small subunit ribosomal RNA", at positions 1183 to 1382 of the family's 1533-position model. The record is from RNAcentral.